This 492-nucleotide ribosomal RNA is filed under the name Cryptosporidium canis. RNAcentral's name for it is "SSU rRNA". It matches the Rfam family "Eukaryotic small subunit ribosomal RNA", at positions 548 to 1072 of the family's 1831-position model. The record is from RNAcentral. Lineage: Eukaryota; Apicomplexa; Conoidasida; Eucoccidiorida; Cryptosporidiidae.
UUGGAGGGCAAGUCUGGUGCCAGCAGCCGCGGUAAUUCCAGCUCCAAUAGCGUAUAUUAAAGUUGUUGCAGUUAAAAAGCUCGUAGUUGGAUUUCUGUUAAUAAUUUAUAUAUAAUAUUUAACAUAUUUAUAUAAUAUUAACAUAAUUCAUAUUACUAUUUAUAGUAUAUGAAACUUUACUUUGAGAAAAUUAGAGUGCUUAAAGCAGGCUUUUGCCUUGAAUACUAGAGCAUGGAAUAAUAUUAAAGAUUUUUAUCUUUCUUAUUGGUUCUAAGAUAGAAAUAAUGAUUAAUAGGGACAGUUGGGGGCAUUUGUAUUUAACAGUUAGAGGUGAAAUUCUUAGAUUUGUUAAAGACAAACUAAUGCGAAAGCAUUUGCCAAGGAUGUUUUCAUUAAUCAAGAACGAAAGUUAGGGGAUCGAAGACGAUCAGAUACCGUCGUAGUCUUAACCAUAAACUAUGCCAACUAGAGAUUGGAGGUUGUUCCUUACUC